This is a long non-coding RNA of Drosophila pseudoobscura, 591 nucleotides long. RefSeq lists it as uncharacterized. The record is from RefSeq and is a predicted model, not a curated record. The transcript has 2 exons. NCBI's taxonomy places the organism in Eukaryota, Metazoa, Arthropoda, Insecta, Diptera, Drosophilidae.
GACAGAUGACGUGUCGACAGAUUAGUGGUCGAAAAGUCAUUUGUGUUUUUCCUUUUUUACAUGUGUCGAGCAUUAGAAACAAGUGCAAAUAAAGCGUGCGUUCCUUGCGCCGUCAUUUCAAUUAUUUUCGUCCAACUGUGCAGUGCUAAGCUAAACAUCUCUACCAUCUCUUACGCAUUUAAAAGAAAUUUCUGCCAAUCGGUAAGUACAUUAUUAAUAAAAGAAAUAAAAUGUCUUACAAAAGAAAAAGCCGAACAUAUAUCGGAGAGGCUCGACACGUGCAAAGAGCUACUGGAGAUUUUGAGGUUAAAUUGAAUCAUAUGCAAAAUAUUUCGAAAGUUUUUCUCCUGGCGUGGGACAGACUCCAAAAAGUGUGUAAGAGGACUUCGAACCACUUUAGCACUACGAAAUGCAUUUAAACAGAAGUUUGCGCUCGACGAUCAGGAUUUCGACCAUACAACUCAAAAAUAUUUCCAGUAUGCUCAGGAACGGAAGGCCAGAUUGGAAAAAAGUGAUGCAAAAAAACUUAAAUUUUAGUACAUAGUUCAUACAUAUUACACAUUAAAUUCAUUUCAUAUUACAAAUUAAAAA